UGUAUGGGGAUCUGCCCGAUAGAGGGGGAUAACUACUGGAAACGGUGGCUAAUGCCGCAUAAUGUCUACGGACCAAAGCAGGGGCUCUUCGGACCUUGCACUAUCGGAUGAACCCAUAUGGGAUUAGCUAGUAGGUGGGGUAAAGGCUCACCUAGGCGACGAUCUCUAGCUGGUCUGAGAGGAUGAUCAGCCACACUGGGACUGAGACACGGCCCAG
This 217-nucleotide ribosomal RNA is filed under the name uncultured bacterium. Its description in RNAcentral is "partial 16S ribosomal RNA". It matches the Rfam family "Bacterial small subunit ribosomal RNA", at positions 114 to 334 of the family's 1533-position model. The record is from RNAcentral.